This 301-nucleotide ribosomal RNA is filed under the name uncultured Streptomyces sp. RNAcentral describes it as "bacterial SSU rRNA". It matches the Rfam family "Bacterial small subunit ribosomal RNA", at positions 509 to 809 of the family's 1533-position model. The record is from RNAcentral. Lineage: Bacteria; Bacillati; Actinomycetota; Actinomycetes; Kitasatosporales; Streptomycetaceae.
CAGCAGCCGCGGUAAUACGUAGGGCGCAAGCGUUGUCCGGAAUUAUUGGGCGUAAAGAGCUCGUAGGCGGCUUGUCACGUCGAUUGUGAAAGCCCGAGGCUUAACCUCGGGUCUGCAGUCGAUACGGGCUAGCUAGAGUGUGGUAGGGGAGAUCGGAAUUCCUGGUGUAGCGGUGAAAUGCGCAGAUAUCAGGAGGAACACCGGUGGCGAAGGCGGAUCUCUGGGCCAUUACUGACGCUGAGGAGCGAAAGCGUGGGGAGCGAACAGGAUUAGAUACCCUGGUAGUCCACGCCGUAAACGG